UACGGGGGGGGCAAGCGUUGUUCGGAAUUACUGGGCGUAAAGGGCUCGUAGGCGGCCAACUAAGUCGGAUGUGAAAUCCCUAGGCUUAACCUGGGAACUGCAUCCGAUACUGGAUGGCUUGAAUCCGGGAGAGGGAAGCAGAAUUCCCGGUGUAGUGGUGAAAUGCGUAGAUAUCGGGAGGAAUACCAGUGGCGAAGGCGGCUUCCUGGCCUGUUCUUGAUGCUGAGGCGCGAAAGCUAGGGUAGCAAACGGG
RNAcentral lists this ribosomal RNA (253 nucleotides) under uncultured bacterium. Its description in RNAcentral is "partial 16S ribosomal RNA". It matches the Rfam family "Bacterial small subunit ribosomal RNA", at positions 524 to 776 of the family's 1533-position model. The record is from RNAcentral.